UUCUCCAUGCUUUGGCAUUCCCAUCCAAUGGCAUUAUGCUUAUGGACUAGAUGAAAGGUGCCCUCAUCUGAAGAGGGAGGACUUUUCAGUGUCUUCCCCCUUUAUGAAAUGGCUGAACAGGGAACG
Molecule: small nucleolar RNA, 126 nt
Organism: Myodes glareolus (Bank vole)
Lineage: Eukaryota; Metazoa; Chordata; Mammalia; Rodentia; Cricetidae
Product: small nucleolar RNA SNORA29
Source: RefSeq, a predicted model, not a curated record